RNAcentral lists this ribosomal RNA (389 nucleotides) under uncultured beta proteobacterium. RNAcentral's name for it is "bacterial SSU rRNA". It matches the Rfam family "Bacterial small subunit ribosomal RNA", at positions 9 to 400 of the family's 1533-position model. Lineage: Bacteria; Pseudomonadati; Pseudomonadota; Betaproteobacteria. The record is from RNAcentral.
GAGUUUGAUCGUGGCUCAGAUUGAACGCUGGCGGAAUGCUUUACACAUGCAAGUCGAGCGGCAGCGCGGGGCAACCUGGCGGCGAGCGGCGAACGGGUGAGUAAUGCAUCGGAACAUGUCCAUGGAGUGGGGGAUAACCCGGCGAAAGCCGGAUUAAUACCGCAUGAGCCCGAGAGGGGAAAGGUGGGGACCGCAAGGCCUCACGUCGAGUGGGUUGGCCGAUGCCCGAUUAGCUAGUUGGUGAGGUAAUGGCUCACCAAGGCGAUGAUCGGUAGCUGGUCUGAGAGGAUGAUCAGCCACACUGGGACUGAGACACGGCCCAGACUCCUACGGGAGGCAGCAGUGGGGAAUUUUGGACAAUGGGGGCAACCCUGAUCCAGCCAUUCCGC